Molecule: long non-coding RNA, 9691 nt
Filed under: Physcomitrium patens
Lineage: Eukaryota; Viridiplantae; Streptophyta; Bryopsida; Funariales; Funariaceae
Description: long non-coding RNA (PPAT_LNC004922)
Source: RNAcentral
UUCGAUUAGGGUUUGGAUUAGGAUUUAGGGUUUGGAUUAGGGUUUGGAUUAGGGUUUAGGAUUUAUUUAGGGUUUGAUUUAGGAUUUGGAUUAGGGUUUGUUGUAAGGUUUGGUUUAGGAUUUAGGAUUUUGAUUAAAGUUUAGGGUUGGAUUAGGAUUUGGAUUAGGGUUUAGGAUUUGAUUAUGGUUUGAUUUAGGGUUUGGAUUAGAGUUUGGACUAGGAUUUGGUUAGGGUUUGAUUUAAGGUUUGGUUUAGGGUUUAGGAUUUGGAUUAGAGUUUAGGAUUUGGAUUAGGAUUUGGAUUAGGAUUUAAGAUUUGAUUAGGAUUUGAUUUAGGGUUUGGAUUAGGGUUUGGACUAGAGUUUAGGGUUUGGACAAGAGCAACAGGUUAACGAUCGCAAAGAGAGUAUGGCUAACAAAGCAUUACAAGCGGACAGGAUAAGAUCGAUCAAUUUGAAGGAAAGGAUAUUACAAAAUAUUUAAGAUAUUAUGUAAAGGAAAUGGAAUUGAAGCGUAUUUCAUAAAGUGAGAUGGUUCAAUUAUUUGAAUUAGCCUCUGCAUGAGAGAUAAGAAAUCAAGUUAAGUUUCUUAUUCAACACUUUGGAGGUUCAUGGGAGAAAUUUUCUCAAGCUUUAAAGGAUGGGUUUUUCUUAGAAGAUAGUGAUAGGAUUACAAAAAGGUCUUUUUUUGAAUGGAUUGAAAGGCCAAAGAAGGAUCUUCUAGCAAUAGAAUUAUUAAGGGAGUUUGAAAAGAAAUAUUCUUCUUUAUCAAAGAAAGAAAGAUAGUUAUUGAAUCCAAGUAAGGUGGAGCUCUUUCUUCAAGCAGUUGAUGGAAAGUGGCAAGAGAAGUUGGAAUUCCUGCUUGAAGAUAAAGAAGAAGAUGAAGGAUUGACAACAAAUUGAGAAAGGGUAGAGGAUGCUGUAAGGACGAUGACAAAAAGAAAAAAGAGAAAAGAUAUGGAGGGUGAUCAAAGACCAUUACAACCAUCUAAGAUAAAGGUGUCUAGUAUCCAUCCGACAUCUUUAAUUCAACCUUCAAUGGCUACAUCAAAAAAAGAAGAAACAGGAAUUGAUGAAAUCAUACGUGGAAUGAGAGAUUUGCAAAUAAAAUUUACAAAACUUGAAGAGAAAGGUCAAUCAUCAAGAAUAUCAACAAAAUAAAGACCAAGGCCAAUAGAGGGUGUAGUACAUAGAUGCAUGUGGUGUGACAGCAUAGAUUACUCGAGGAAAGAAUGUGAAGAAUUUACAGAGGCAUUACGUAAAGGAGUUAUUUUUUUUAAAGAUGGUAUGAUACACUCAAAAGAAAAUGGAGAAAAAUUGGAAAUAAAUUUUGGUAAAAGAGAAAUAAAGUUAUUUAUUGGAGAUACUUUUAAAGUGCAGACAAUCUCAAGUAAUGAAGCAUCAACAUAUUGGGUGGAAGCAGAUCCUAGUAGAUUUUUAAGUAUAAACCUGGAGUUUCCAGUAGAAUCUAGUUCUUUGUGGACAAGUGCAAUGAGGUAUGCUGAAAAGGGAAAUUUUACUAGAGAUGAUUUGAAACGUGUUGGUAAUAACAUUCGACAAAUUAUUGGGUGGAAUGAUCCAGUAGAUAGACUAUCUGUAUAUGCUCAUAUUGUAAGGAGUCAACAUGAAGCAUUAAUAGAAGAAGAAUGAAGGAGAGAUGAAAAUAAUGAAGGGCCCUCAAAAAGAAUUACAAGGGGAGAAAAAGCACGACAACAAAAGAAUCCUAUACAUGAAGAGACAAUGGAGAGCAUUUCUACAAAAGAGAGGAAAAUUGGAAAAGAAAAAGCAAAGGCUCCUGCUUAUAAAUUACAAUUAGAUAUUGAAGCAAUUACAGAUUUGAAGAAGGUAUUGGAGGAGCGGAUUUUAAGUGAAAAGGUUGAAUUCAUAAUUAUUGAAAUUCUAGGAAUUACAAAGCGUAAGUUUCAUAAAGUUAUUAUUGAUACAAUAAAGAGAAAAUGAUAAUCUAUAGGAGACUCUAUGACAUCAAAUGCACAAGGAACAAGAACAAUGGAAAGAAAUGAAGAUGAAAAAGAUGAAAUACAAAAUUUUGGAGAUGACUUGCGAGUAAGGUUUGUAGAAAAAGAAGAUAUCAUUUAAGCUUCUAGCCAUUAUUCUAGAAGUCAUUGGGCAAGGGCUACAACGAAGUCUUUAAUAAAAUUGGGAAAUUUAGAAGAACCAGUUGUAGCAUUAAUUGAUCAUGGUUCUGAAAUCAAUUUGAUGUCAAAAGAAUUAUAUAACAAGAGAAAAUGGCCUAUUGAUACUGAACAUGGGUGGAUGAUAAGAGCUACGAAUAAUUCAAAGGGAGAUUUGUAUAGAGCAUGUCCAAAUAUCAAAGUGAAAAUUGGAGAUGUUAUUCAUGAACAAAAUUUCUUUGUGCAAGACAUGUCUAUAUACCCUAUUAUAUUAGGACAACCAUAUAUUAUUUCCACACGAAUGGAAAAAAAAAUAAUGGAUGAUGGUUCAGCUUAUGUAAGAAUAAAAAGCCAAGAUGGGAUGAAAGCAGUUCAAUUUUUAACUGUUUGUGCUAAUCAUGAGAGAAAUCAUGAUAAGUUGAGAGAGAAACCAAUAUCAAAUGAGAAAUUUGAAGACCUUGAGGAUUUUUACCACACACCAUUGUAAAGCAGGGUUGCAAUGGAUUAGAGAAAGAAAUGCUCCCUCUUAAUUUAAAAAAAGAAUUAUUAUCUACCGGACUUAUUGGGAUGACACAAGAUUGUGUAUUGACUUAAAAGACUAUUGAGAAAAUGGAAAAGAGGGACAGAUGUUAUAUUAAAAAUAUAGAGAAAAAUUUGAAAGAAAAUAGAGAAUUGGUUGAAAAUGAAUUUAUUUCAGGAACAUAUGAAGAAGUAAGUUUUGUAGAUACUAUGGAGGAAUUAAAUUAUCUAUUACAAUGUGGGUUACAAGUAAAAAAUAGAGUUAUUAAUGUGUGUUCUAAAGAAUUUUAUGAUGAAAUUUAAGGAUUUAAAGAAAAUUUAAGUCACCAAGAGGUAUAUGUUGAAACUAAGUAUAAAUCAGUAGCAAAGAAGGUCAAACAGUGGCUUUGCCAAUACCAUGUGAUUGUGAAGAAAUGAUAAGUGGAGCAUCGACACAACCAAAUCUAAGAGAUCUAAGGAAGAUACGGCAUAAAUUUAUGCAUGUAACAUUAGAUGGGUUAAAUAUUGGAGGUAAUGGAUUUUUGACAAAAUGUGAAGAAAAAUGUUUUAGGGAUAUUCUUUCACGUUGUCGUGUUGUAACAUGAGUAUACUGUGAAAAUAUAAAGAAAGAGGACUUUUAUAAAUGUUCAGUUACCUCGAAUAUUGAUAGCAACGACCAACUCCAGUGCAAAUACUGAGAGGCUAGGAUCAGUCACCCCGUUACAGUCAGCUGGGGCAUACUGAAAUGCUCCGUUCGAUUCCAAUAACGGGAGUCAGCAGGAAGGGAAAGGACCAAUUCAUACGACGGGUGAACCUGGUUCGAAGAGCCAAUUGGAUCCAAUUUCAAGAAUCCAAUCCGGAUCCUCUUACCCAAUAUGAGACCUGAAUUGGUCGGGCAACCCAAUGUAGUCUAAUUACGGGAAAAUCCAGGCCUUACUAUGGGCCUCAACCAAUCUGACACGAAGGACCAAUUUGAUCCAAUUACAGGAACAUCCGGGUCUUAUUACUAGACUCUUCUCCAAUAUGAGAAAUGAAUUGGUCGGGCGACUCAAUGUGGUCCCGAUUACGGGAUUUCGAUUCUGUUUCAAGCUGUCCUGUUCUCUGUGCCGUUUCAGGGAACAUUGUUUUCGGUAAAAGGAUCUCUUAAAGGUAAAAACAGAGGAGAAAGCUCUGACGGCGAGAGCCAAUUCUGGAUCUAAGAUGGAAGGAGCCAAUUCCGGAUCCAAGACGGAAGGAGCCAAUUUCGGAUCCAAGACGGAAGAUUGAAGAAAUUCAGAGGCUAGGGUUUGAAAGAGGGGAGAAUUAGGGUUAAAGGGGAGGAAGGUUAAGAAAUGAGGGGAUUUUUUUCAGAUCGGGUUUUUGGAUCGAAGAGCUAGCUUCAAGCUCUUUUCAAGGUCACUAGUUUGGUUUCAUUAGGAUUUGUGAGGGGAGAGCAAUCGCUGCUCAAAGUCAGUGUUUAUUUUGGUGUUUCAGAUUUUAUAUAAACAUUGAUGGUUUGCAUUCUCAAUCGGUUUGUGCAAGUCGUGUAGCAUCUAUGGAUCAAAAUUUGGUAUUGUCUGGAUAGUUGGAUGAGCUAAGUGUAUACAAAAAUUUGUGUUAAUCUAACGAUGCAAUCAAGAGAUAUCUAGGUUUUAGUACAAAGGAUUGUCAGAAGUUGGCAGUCUAGGGUUGGAUAGGGUUCUGUGAUAUCUGAAGAUCUACAAGUUGGAUCGACGUAAUUUUUGGCUUGGUAAUAGAAGAUUUGGAGAUCAAGCGGCUAUUCAAUUUUGAGUUGGAAUUAACGGUUGACAAAGGAGAAAUCACUUCUAGAGUUUCUACAUCAAAUUUCAAGGUUACGGCGGAGUGUCAUCAGUGCGGUUUUUGGGCGUUUUCUUGCAAUCUGUAAGUUGGGUUGGGCUGAAAUUUUUUGAGCAUAUAGAAGGCUUAUACUGGUAUUUGGGUGCAAAAUUUCACACUAAGUGGACGGUUGGAUCAAAAGUUACAGCUUGUCAAAGCUCACUGGCUAGGGUUAGGGCUUGUUAAGAAAAACAAAAACAACUUAAUUAUAAAAGAAAUAAAGCAAUUGGAAUAUUGUAUGAUUAAAAUGACUAUGAGGAGUGUUUUUAAAUACUUGGAAAUUGAUGUUUCAAUUAUAUUCUUCAUACAUGGAUAAAAUCUAUUACGGUUUCCUUGUUAUUUGCAAAAACAACUAUACCUUCCACAGCCAGAUACCCAGUGUAUUCCCGAACAAGACAGCACGUAAUACAAUAAUGUCAUGGAAAAGCUUUUGCAUUUGAAGCACAUGAAAUUGAGUGUGUUGAUCCAAAUAUUAUAGCAUCCAUGGUUAUUUUUACUAUUCCUCAUGAACCAUGGAAUUUCGACCAAUUCCAGUACCAAGAGCGUAUUUAUCUAAGUUAGUAGAUUUACUCAAUGAAAAGAUUAAAAUGGGAAUUUUGGAACCAUCUAUAGCACUUUAUUCUAAUCGAUGGUUUACAGUGCCAAAGAAAAAUGGAACAAUGAGAUUUAUAUAAGAUAUGCAACCCGUAAAUAAAGUAACUAUUAAAAAUAUGGGUUCAAGUCCAAUUGUAGAUGAAUUUGCAGAAGCAUUUGCUGGAAGAGCUAUCUACUCAAUGGAUGAUCUUUAUUCAGAUUAUGAUCAAUUCCAAUUGGCAAUACAAAGUAGGGAUUUGACAACUAUGAAGACACCAUUAGGAUUGGUUAGAAUGUGCAUAUUACCACAAGGGGCUACAAAUUCUGUAGCACAUAUGAUGAAUGGAAUGCAUAAGGUAUUAAGAGAUUUUAUUCCAAGAAUAACAAUGCCUUUCUUGGAUGAUGUACCUAUUAAGGGAUGUGAAGAAGAAAGAAAUGAUGAAACUUUAGAUUCAAAGGGAUGUAGAAAGUUUGUGGCAGAUCAUAUUGAAGAUUGUGAGAAGAUUUUGAAAAGAUUGGAAGAAGUUCAUUUAACCUUAUCGGGGACAAAAUCAAUGUUUGGAGUAAAAAAAAAUUUGGUGGUAGGAUACAUAUGUGGUUCAUAUGGACGUAAGCCAAGUAUAGAAAAGAUUGGUAUUAUUAAAAAGAUGAAAGAAUGUACAAAUACAAUGGAAGUGAGAAGAUUUUUAGGAGCAUGUAUUUUCUAUCAUAUAUGGAUACCUCACUUUGCACAUAUAGCAGAUCCAUUAUAUAAGUUGUUAAGAAAGAAUAAAAAAUUUCAAUAGAAAGAAGAACAACGGAAAGCUAUAGAAAAAUUGAAAAAACUUCUUUCUUCAUCUCCAACUUUGAAGAAAGUAAAUUAUGAAGGUGGAAGGCCAGUGGUAUUAACAGUUGAUGCAAAUCCAAUUGGAAUAGAUUGGGCGGUUGGGCAAGAUGAUGAACAAGGAAAUAGAUAUGUAGUAAGAUUUAGAGCAAAGGUAUUGAAUUCUAGGCAAAGGACAUAUGCGCAAAUCAAAAGAAAAUUAUGGGGUAUAGUAAUAGCUAUGAAAAAUGAAAAAGAGUACUUGAUUGGAACAUCAGUAGUUAUAGAAACAGAUUGUCUACCUUUGUUAGGCAUGAUUACAAGUUGUUCAAUUCUUGAUAUUGCUAUGUUGAGGUGGAUAGCAUAUAUCAAAUCUAUGAAUCUUGAAUUUAAACAUAUUGUAGGGAAAGAAAAUUCAGUUGUAAAUAUGUUAUCAAGAGCAAGGUAUAAUAAUGAAGAAAAGAUGAUUGAUUUAGAAGAUGAUGUGGGUACAAAAUUUUAUACCAAUGCGUUAUCAAAGAAAAAGAGUGUAUGUUUUAAUAUACCAUUAGAAGCAUUUUUAAGAGAUUUAUAUGAAAAUGAAUGGAAAGAUGUUGGAGAGUAUUUGAGUACAUUAAAACGACAAAAAGAUUAGACAGAUCAAGAAUUUAAGAAAAUUCGUAAGAAAGCCUAUGGAUAUUUUUUACAUGAUGGAUAUUUAUGGAAGGAUCCAAAAAAGAGAGGAGAAGUACCACAAAGGGUAAUAUGUGGUUUAAAAGUUCAACAAAAGAUUAUUAAAGAAUUUCAUGAAAAUUUAUGGGCAGGGCAUCGAGGUAUUUGGACAACAUUCACUAAGUUAAAGGAAAAAUAUUGGUGGAAGAGAAUGUACAAAGACAUAGCAAAAUUUGUAGAAUCUUGUGAGACUUGCCAAGUAUAUUCAAAUAUUCGACAUCGAAAUGGAUUACAUCCAACAUACCCUUUGGCUUUACAUUACAAAUGGGUGGUGGAUUUAGUGGCAAUGCCUAUGGGACUUGGACAAAGAAGUAUUUGAUACUUGCACAAAAAGAUUUAUCAAAUAUCGUUGAAGGACGAGCAUUAAGAACAAAGGAUACUAAAGAUGUAUGUCGAUUUCUAUUAGAAGAAGUUAUUUGUCGCUAUGGUUAUAUUAGAAAAAUUACGGUAGAUAGAGGUGAAUUGGAUACAAAGGAAGCACGAGAAUUCUUUAAUAGGAUAGGAAUUAAACUUUCUUUAACAACAACAUAUAAUACAAAAGGUAAUGGUAAAAGUGAGCAUAGAUAUUUACCUAUUAUUAAAGCAUUAGUAAAGGCAUGUAAUGGCAAAGCUCAUAAAAUGACUCAACUACUACCAUUUGUGCUAUAGACAGAUCGUACAACUCAUAGUUCAGUAACAGGUUAUAUGCCUUCUAAAUUAAUAUAUGAUCAAAAACCACUAAUGCCAAUAGAAGAUGUAGUACCUACGUGGGGUGUAUUGCCUUGGAAGAAUGAUCUCAACAAAGAAGAACUUUUAGCAUUACGGAUUUAGCAACUAGAAAGAAGAUCCAACGAUAUUGAAAUAGUAAUAAAAAAAUUGAAAGAAGCAAGGAAAAAGAAUAAAGAAAGAUUUGAUAAAAAACAUCGAUUACGACUUAAGACUAUUGAAGAUGGUGAUUGGAUAUUAGUUUAUGAUAGUAGCUUAGACAAUCAACAUAGCACUAUGAAGAAGUUUGCAAAGAGAUGGUUUGGGCCUUAUAUUGUCAAAACGGCACACAACAAUGGAACAUAUUCAUUACAAGAACUUGAUGGUACAGAAUUCAAAGUACUCAUAGCAGGCAAACGAAUCAAGUUAUUUAAACAAAGAGAUGAAGGCAUUUGUUUUCAUGAAGAACAAACUCAAAUACAAGAUAUUGAGAUUGGAAUAGAAGAGCAUAUUGAAGAUCAAGAAUUGUACCAAAAUGAAGAAUAUUCUACAUCAACAUAUUGAAGAAUAAUUGGCGCAUGCCGGAGGAUGCACAGAUUCAAAGAGCAGUAGAUGUCGUGAUGUAACAUGAUUAAUAGGUGAAAGAAUGUGGAGAUUAUUAUAAUUUAAGAGAUCUUAGUUCAAAGUAUUAGAACAAAUUAUCUUGGAUUAAUAGUUAAUAGCCAAAGGGAUAGAAAAAUUAAAAGGUACCAAUGCUGCCUUUUAGAAAGGUGACUUCUACUUACUUUUUAGUACCAUAAGUAAGGCAAAUCAAAGUAUAUUGGAAAAAUAAAUGAUAUAGGAAUCUUUAGAAGAAAGUUAAGAGUAAAUUCUAGAAAAAAGUUACUUAGAAAAACUAGAUAUUGAUACCCAGAAAAGGCCGGUUAUGAACCAGGGUCGAAAUCAGACCCUGAUGCACAAAACCGAGUCUCGACGACGACUCCGGGACUCUUUGGCAGAUCGGAGAGUAGGGUUUGAGAAAAGAUUGGAUAGGAUUUCUAUGGGCGUUGAUUUUGGGUGAUUUGGAGUUGAUAUGAAUUUGUAAGAGCUUUGCAAAGUUGAGUUUUUUUCGGAUGACUUGAGUUUUAUGAAAUAAAAUAGGAUUUAUGUUUUGAGUGAUUUCGAGAGUUUUGUUGCAGAUCUAUGAGUGAAGUUUUUUUUUAUUUAUGGUUAUAGUUGUGUUGAAUACAUGUUGUGAAUUUGAGCUUGAUCUAACUGAGAGACAUUGAGGUUUAAAAGAGUCAAGGUCUCAGAAAGUAGAAUUUUAGGUCCAGUGGGGGUUUUUAAGAUUUCAUGCAAUCUACUAGUUGGAUUGGAGUAAAACUUGUGUGAGAGGAUAUUAGACUUGUUUUCUUAUAUCCAUGAGAAAUUUGAAACCAAUCGAAUGGCGCAAAGAAGAGAAAUUGGCUCUGGAAGGUUGGCAACAAGAUUAGAGAAGAAGGUUGGCUAACACCCGAACACAUUUUUGAGGGUUUCGUCAAUUUGGUAACUCCGAUCUUUUUCAAAAAAAAUUUGCUUUUUUUGAACUUGAUUUUUAAGAAGUGUGCAAAUUUUGAAUUGAGAUCGACGGUUUAUUCAUUAGAUAUUGAGGUUUAAAUCUGUCAUAGGAAUUACUAAGAUUUGGAUUAGGGUUUGGCUAGGGUUCGGUUUAGGGUUUCGAUUAGGGUUUGGAUUAGGAUUUAGGGUUUGGAUUAGGAUUUGGAUUAGGAUUUAGGGUUUGUUUAGGGUUUGAUUUAGGGUUUGGAUUAGGGUUUGUUGUAAGGUUUGGUUUAGGAUUUAGGAUUUUGAUUAAAGUUUAGGGUUGGAUUAGGGUUUGGAUUAGGGUUUAGGAUUUGAUUAGGAUUUGAUUUAGGGUUUGGAUUAGAGUUUGGACUAGGAUUUGGUUAGGGUUUGAUUUAAGGUUUGGUUUAGGGUUUAGGAUUUGGAUUAGAAUUUAGGAUUUGCUUAGGGUUUGAUUUAGGGUUUGGACUAGGGUUUGGAUUAGAAUUUGAUUAGGGUUUGAUUUAAGGUUUGGUUUAGGAUUGAGGAUUUGGAUUAAAGUUUAGGAUUAGAUUAGGAUUUGGAUUAGGGUUUAGGAUUUGAUUAGGGUUUGAUUUAGGAUUUGGAUUAGAGUUUGGACUAGGAUUUGGUUAGGGUUUGAUUUAAGGUUUGGUUUAGGAUUUAGGAUUUGGAUUAGAGUUUAGGGUUUGGAUUAGGAUUUGGAUUAGGAUUUAAGAUUUGGUUAGGAUUUGAUUUAGGAUUUGGAUUAGGGUUUGGACUAGAGUUUAGAGUUUGGUUAGGGUUUGAUUUAGGAUUUGGAUUAGGAUUUGGUUAGGAUUUGAUUUAAGGUUUGAUUUAGGGUUUAGGGUUGGAUUAGGAUUUGGUUUAGGGUUUGAUUUAGGGUUUGAUUUAGGGUUUGAUUUAGGAUUUAGGAUUUG